This 395-nucleotide ribosomal RNA is filed under the name uncultured bacterium. RNAcentral's name for it is "partial 16S ribosomal RNA". It matches the Rfam family "Bacterial small subunit ribosomal RNA", at positions 523 to 918 of the family's 1533-position model. The record is from RNAcentral.
AUACGUAGGGUGCAAGCGUUAAUCGGAAUUACUGGGCGUAAAGCGUGCGCAGGCGGUUUUUUAAGACAGAGGUGAAAUCCCCGGGCUCAACCUGGGAACCGCCUUUGUGACUGCACGGCUACAGUACGGCAGAGGGGGAUGGAAUUCCGCGGGUAGCCGGGAAAUGCGUAGAUAUGCGGAGGAACACCGAUGGCGAAGGCAAUCCCCUGGGCCUGUACUGACGCUCAUGCACGAAAGCGUGGGGAGCAAACAGGAUUAGAUACCCUGGUAGUCCACGCCCUAAACGAUGUCAACUGGUUGUUGGGUCUUCAUUGACUCAGUAACGAAGCUAACGCGUGAAGUUGACCGCCUGGGGAGUACGGCCGCAAGGUUGAAACUCAAAUGAAUUGACGGGG